RNAcentral lists this ribosomal RNA (615 nucleotides) under uncultured bacterium. RNAcentral's name for it is "bacterial SSU rRNA". The stretch from base 1 to 541 matches the Rfam family "Bacterial small subunit ribosomal RNA", at positions 338 to 873 of the family's 1533-position model. The record is from RNAcentral.
CCUACGGGAGGCAGCAGUGGGGAAUUUUGGACAAUGGGCGCAAGCCUGAUCCAGCCAUGCCGCGUGUGGGAAGAAGGCCUUCGGGUUGUAAACCACUUUUGUCAGGGAAGAAACGGCUCUUACUAAUAUUAGGAGCUAAUGACGGUACCUGAAGAAUAAGCACCGGCUAACUACGUGCCAGCAGCCGCGGUAAUACGUAGGGUGCAAGCGUUAAUCGGAAUUACUGGGCGUAAAGCGUGCGCAGGCGGCUUUGCAAGACAGAUGUGAAAUCCCCGGGCUCAACCUGGGAACUGCAUUUGUGACUGCAUGGCUAGAGUACGGUAGAGGGGGAUGGAAUUCCGCGUGUAGCAGUGAAAUGCGUAGAUAUGCGGAGGAACACCGAUGGCGAAGGCAAUCCCCUGGACCUGUACUGACGCUCAUGCACGAAAGCGUGGGGAGCAAACAGGAUUAGAUACCCUGGUAGUCCACGCCCUAAACGAUGUCAACUGGUUGUUGGACGGCUUGCUGUUCAGUACGAAGCUAACGCGUGAAGUUGACCGCCUGGGGNGGACGGCGCGAGUAGUAACGACGAAGAGUAGACGCGNGAGAGAGCGACGACGACGACGAGGGAGGAGG